UACCAAACCCACUUCAAUACCCUUACUGAGGCCAUGAGAGCCUGAGGGGCGUCUGCCCAGGAAAGGAGCCAUGGCAUGUGGCAGAGACCAAACAGGGACCAGGAAAAAGGGGUGAUGUCCCGUUUCCCCACCACCACCUCCAAGCUCUGUCAGCGCUGAGCUACCCUGAGCAGGGGCCAGGCACCUCACGCCUUGCACAGUAGCUGGUCUGGGUUGAAUGCAGUCCUGGGGGCCAGAGCACGACAUACCCGGCUGUGUCAGCUCAAAGGAUCUGUGCACAUCUUCAAGAGGUGAGGUAGGGAGAGGAGCACCAAUGAGUUUUUCCCCCCCAACCUUUUACAAAUGGCAUUUUGUUAAUGGAAAUCCGGGAACCAGGUGUGAUUACUUUUUUGCUCGUAGAUAUUGUCCUAAGUUGAAAUUCUCCCACUGCCCUAAACUUUCCCUAGUAGCCUUUUAAAUCCCCACCCCCCCCCCCCUUCUUUUUGGUAGCUGUUUUCUUCCACCCCCUUUCCACCUCCCCUCUUAUCUAGGAGCUGUUUUUAAGCACGAUUUUUUUUUAACAGUUUAUAUUGUACAGGAUCAAUAUUUUGCUUUUUAACAAGGAUAUUUAUGUAAUAAGAAACUUUGCCUUAGGCAGGUGUUGGCCAGAAAAGUCCAGAUUCCUCUGGGACCCCACCCUGGCCUCUCCUGGAGCUCUGAACCUGCUGUGGAAGGAAUUGGCUGUGACCUUCACCACUGGAGAGUAGGGUGGAAAAGGGGUGUUCUGAUGUUGACGGGAGAAGGAUUCACCAUGAUGCUCUAGUGCCUCUGUGGAGGGAUUUGGAAGAAGUACUCCAGUCCAGUUUCUUCGGAUGUAAGCUGACUUCCUUAGCCGAUUCUCCCCAUAUGCACCUCUCCACCUCAAUGUUCGGCACUAGAACUCUUGAAACACCACUUCUCAUAUGCCUCCCUCCCUCCCAGUGGUCAAGGCUUUGGAGCCACCCUUUCGUAACGCCAGAUUAUUUAAAGAGAGAAAAAUACAAGACAAAAACCUUCUAGCACUUUGUAAACACAGUGAAUAACCUCUUGGAGUAUUUUUGGCUUUAUAUAAAACAAGGUUUUUAAUUGUAAAAUAUAAGUGCCAUUAGAAAAUGCACAGGGCAUAUCUUUGUUAAAGUAGAUUUUUCAAUGUUUUACAGAAUUACAUUUUCAAAAAAAGUUUUUAUAAUGAAGUUGUUUAUUAAAAACUUCUGAAUGAUGUGUUUGGAAGUUGUGAACCUGUCUGAUUGGGAAAGGGGUGGAGAGAGCCUGGGGAAGAAUUGGAAUCUCCAGACAUCUUUACCAUCCAAGGGGAUGGUGA
Equus asinus (donkey) is the source of this 1339-nucleotide long non-coding RNA. Lineage: Eukaryota; Metazoa; Chordata; Mammalia; Perissodactyla; Equidae. The record is from Ensembl.